GACGAACGCUGGCGGCGUGCUUAACACAUGCAAGUCGAACGGUAAGGCCCUUCGGGGUACACGAGUGGCGAACGGGUGAGUAACACGUGGGUGAUCUGCCCUGCACUUCGGGAUAAGCCUGGGAAACUGGGUCUAAUACCGGAUAGGACUUCUGGCUUCAUGGUUGGGGGUGGAAAGCUUUUGCGGUGUGGGAUGGGCCCGCGGCCUAUCAGCUUGUUGGGGGGGUGAUGGCCUACCAAGGCGACGACGGGUAGCCGGCCUGAGAGGGUGACCGGUCACACUGGGGCUGAGAUACGGCCCAGACUCCUACGGGAGGCAGCAGUGGGGAAUAUUGCACAAUGGGCGCAAGCCUGAUGCAGCGACGCCGCGUGAGGGAUGACGGCCUUCGGGUUGUAAACCUCUUUCAGCUAUGACGAAGCGCAAGUGACGGUAGUAGCAGAAGAAGGACCGGCCAACUACGUGCCAGCCGCCGCCGUAA
This 478-nucleotide ribosomal RNA is filed under the name uncultured bacterium. RNAcentral describes it as "partial 16S ribosomal RNA". It matches the Rfam family "Bacterial small subunit ribosomal RNA", at positions 28 to 523 of the family's 1533-position model. The record is from RNAcentral.